UACGUAGGCAGCAAGCGUUGUUCGGAGUUACUGGGCGUAAAGAGUGUGUAGGCUGUUCUCUAAGUUUGGUGUGAAAUCUCCCGGCUUAACUGGGAGGGUGCGCCGAAAACUGGAGGCCUUGAGUAUGGGAGAGGAAAGCGGAAUUCCUGGUGUAGCGGUGAAAUGCGUAGAUAUCAGGAGGAACACCUGCGGUGUAGACGGCUUUCUGGACCAUCACUGACGCUGAGACACGAAAGCGUGGGGAGCAAACAGG
Molecule: ribosomal RNA, 253 nt
Filed under: uncultured bacterium
Lineage: Bacteria
Description: partial 16S ribosomal RNA
Rfam family: Bacterial small subunit ribosomal RNA
Source: RNAcentral